AGAGUUGAUUCUGGCUCAGGACGAACGCUGGCGGCGUGCCUAAUACAUGCAAGUCGAGCGGAUGACGAGGAGCUUGCUCCUCUGAUUCAGCGGCGGACGGGUGAGUAACACGUGGGCAACCUGCCUGUAAGACUGGGAUAACUUCGGGAAACCGGAGCUAAUUACCGGAUAACUCUUCGAACCUCAUGGUUCGAAGAUAAAAGAUGGUUUCGGCUAGUCACUUACAGAUGGGCCCGCGGCGCAUUAGCUAGUUGGUGAGGUAACGGCUUACCAAGGCGACGAUGCGUAGCCGACCUGAGAGGGUGAUCGGCCACACUGGGACUGAGACACGGCCCAGACUCCUACGGGAGGCAGCAGUAGGGAAUCUUCCGCAAUGGACGAAAGUCUGACGGAGCAACGCCGCGUUGAGCGAUGAAGGCCUUCGGGUCGUAAAGCUCUGUUGUUAGGGAAGAACAAGUACCAGUUAACUGCUGGUACCAUGACGGUACCUAACCAGAAGCCACGGCUAACUACGUGCCAGCAGCGGC
Molecule: ribosomal RNA, 527 nt
Filed under: uncultured bacterium
Lineage: Bacteria
Description: bacterial SSU rRNA
Rfam family: Bacterial small subunit ribosomal RNA
Source: RNAcentral